RNAcentral lists this non-coding RNA (24 nucleotides) under Arabidopsis thaliana (thale cress). The record is from RNAcentral. Lineage: Eukaryota; Viridiplantae; Streptophyta; Magnoliopsida; Brassicales; Brassicaceae.
ACCACAAUCUUAUCCUAAAAGCCU